GGGUUGUGAGGUUAAGCGACUAAGCGUACACGGUGGAUGCCCUGGCAGUCAGAGGCGAUGAAGGACGUGCUAAUCUGCGAAAAGCGUCGGUAAGGUGAUAUGAACCGUUAUAGCCGGCGAUGUCCGAAUGGGGAAACCCAGUGCAAUUCGUUGCACUAUCGUUAACUGAAUACAUAGGUUAACGAGGCGAACCGGGGGAACUGAAACAUCUAAGUACCCCGAGGAAAAGAAAUCAACCGAGAUUCCCCCAGUAGCGGCGAGCGAACGGGGAGCAGCCCAGAGUCUGAAUCAGCUUGUGUGUUAGUGGAACGGUCUGGAAAGUCCGACGGUACAGGGUGAUAGUCCCGUACACCAAAAUGCACAGGCUGUGAACUCGAAGAGUAGGGCGGGACACGUGGUAUCCUGUCUGAAUAUGGGGGGACCAUCCUCCAAGGCUAAAUACUCCUGACUGACCGAUAGUGAACCAGUACCGUGAGGGAAAGGCGAAAAGAACCCCGGCGAGGGGAGUGAAAAAGAACCUGAAACCGUGUACGUACAAGCAGUGGGAGCACCUUCGGGUGUGACUGCGUACCUUUUGUAUAAUGGGUCAGCGACUUAUAUUCUGUAGCAAGGUUAACCGUAUAGGGGAGCCGCAGGGAAACCGAGUCUUAACUGGGCGUUAAGUUGCAGGGUAUAGACCCGAAACCCGGUGAUCUAGCCAUGGGCAGGUUGAAGGUUGGGUAACACUAACUGGAGGACCGAACCGACUAAUGUUGAAAAAUUAGCGGAUGACUUGUGGCUGGGGGUGAAAGGCCAAUCAAACCGGGAGAUAGCUGGUUCUCCCCGAAAGCUAUUUAGGUAGCGCCUCGUGAACUCAUCUUCGGGGGUAGAGCACUGUUUCGGCUAGGGGGUCAUCCCGACUUACCAACCCGAUGCAAACUACGAAUACCGAAGAAUGUUAUCACGGGAGACACACGGCGGGUGCUAACGUCCGUCGUGAAGAGGGAAACAACCCAGACCGCCAGCUAAGGUCCCAAAGUCAUGGUUAAGUGGGAAACGAUGUGGGAAGGCACAGACAGCCAGGAUGUUGGCUUAGAAGCAGCCAUCAUUUAAAGAAAGCGUAAUAGCUCACUGGUCGAGUCGGCCUGCGCGGAAGAUGUAACGGGGCUAAACCAUGCACCGAAGCUGCGGCAGCGACACUAUGUGUUGUUGGGUAGGGGAGCGUUCUGUAAGCCUGCGAAGGUGGCCUGUGAGGGUUGCUGGAGGUAUCAGAAGUGCGAAUGCUGACAUAAGUAACGAUAAAGCGGGUGAAAAGCCCGCUCGCCGGAAGACCAAGGGUUCCUGUCCAACGUUAAUCGGGGCAGGGUGAGUCGACCCCUAAGGCGAGGCCGAAAGGCGUAGUCGAUGGGAAACAGGUUAAUAUUCCUGUACUUGGUGUUACUGCGAAGGGGGGACGGAGAAGGCUAUGUUAGCCGGGCGACGGUUGUCCCGGUUUAAGCAUGUAGGCUGGUUAUCCAGGCAAAUCCGGAUAAUCAAGGCUGAGGUGUGAUGACGAGGCACUACGGUGCUGAAGUAACAAAUGCCCUGCUUCCAGGAAAAGCCUCUAAGCAUCAGGUAACAUCAAAUCGUACCCCAAACCGACACAGGUGGUCAGGUAGAGAAUACCAAGGCGCUUGAGAGAACUCGGGUGAAGGAACUAGGCAAAAUGGUGCCGUAACUUCGGGAGAAGGCACGCUGGUGUGUAGGUGAAGUCCCUGCGGAUGGAGCUGAGACCAGUCGAAGAUACCAGCUGGCUGCAACUGUUUAUUAAAAACACAGCACUGUGCAAACACGAAAGUGGACGUAUACGGUGUGACGCCUGCCCGGUGCCGGAAGGUUAAUUGAUGGGGUUAUCCGUAAGGAGAAGCUCUUGAUCGAAGCCCCGGUAAACGGCGGCCGUAACUAUAACGGUCCUAAGGUAGCGAAAUUCCUUGUCGGGUAAGUUCCGACCUGCACGAAUGGCGUAAUGAUGGCCAGGCUGUCUCCACCCGAGACUCAGUGAAAUUGAACUCGCUGUGAAGAUGCAGUGUACCCGCGGCAAGACGGAAAGACCCCGUGAACCUUUACUAUAGCUUGACACUGAACAUUGAGCCUUGAUGUGUAGGAUAGGUGGGAGGCUUUGAAGCGUGGACGCCAGUCUGCGUGGAGCCAACCUUGAAAUACCACCCUUUAAUGUUUGAUGUUCUAACGUUGGCCCCUUACCGGGGUUGCGGACAGUGUCUGGUGGGUAGUUUGACUGGGGCGGUCUCCUCCCAAAGCGUAACGGAGGAGCACGAAGGUUAGCUAAUCCUGGUCGGACAUCAGGAGGUUAGUGCAAUGGCAUAAGCUAGCUUGACUGCGAGCGUGACGGCGCGAGCAGGUGCGAAAGCAGGUCAUAGUGAUCCGGUGGUUCUGAAUGGAAGGGCCAUCGCUCAACGGAUAAAAGGUACUCCGGGGAUAACAGGCUGAUACCGCCCAAGAGUUCAUAUCGACGGCGGUGUUUGGCACCUCGAUGUCGGCUCAUCACAUCCUGGGGCUGAAGUAGGUCCCAAGGGUAUGGCUGUUCGCCAUUUAAAGUGGUACGCGAGCUGGGUUUAGAACGUCGUGAGACAGUUCGGUCCCUAUCUGCCGUGGGCGCUGGAGAAUUGAGGGGGGCUGCUCCUAGUACGAGAGGACCGGAGUGGACGCAUCACUGGUGUUCGGGUUGUCAUGCCAAUGGCACUGCCCGGUAGCUAAAUGCGGAAGAGAUAAGUGCUGAAAGCAUCUAAGCACGAAACUUGCCCCGAGAUGAGUUCUCCCUGAGACUUUAAGUCUCCUGAAGGAACGUUAAAGACGAUGACGUUGAUAGGCCGGGUGUGUAAGCGCAGCGAUGCGUUGAGCUAACCGGUACUAAUGAACCGUGAGGCUUAACCUUACAACGCCGAAG
Molecule: ribosomal RNA, 2923 nt
Filed under: Klebsiella pneumoniae
Lineage: Bacteria; Pseudomonadati; Pseudomonadota; Gammaproteobacteria; Enterobacterales; Enterobacteriaceae
Description: bacterial LSU rRNA
Rfam family: Bacterial large subunit ribosomal RNA
Source: RNAcentral